RNAcentral lists this long non-coding RNA (765 nucleotides) under Phoenix dactylifera (date palm). RNAcentral's name for it is "long non-coding RNA (PDAC_LNC002350)". Lineage: Eukaryota; Viridiplantae; Streptophyta; Magnoliopsida; Arecales; Arecaceae. The record is from RNAcentral.
UAUAUAUAUAUAUAUAUAUAUAUAUAAGUAAAGGUUCACAACCUUUUGAGUCUACCUAUCAUCAAUAAGAAAUCACAUAGAAUGAAAGAAAGAAGGCCAAUACCAACCAACACUUACAUGUAUAUCGUAUUAACUGUUAACUCUCUUCUUGAUAGAAGUAUGCAAAUAAGAAUUUGGUGGAUCCAAUCCUUACAACCGAUGAUCGAAAUCUGCAGUCUUCGAGUCAUGGAGCCUUCGACCGGUCCGGUGCAGCGGAGUCGGCGAUGGAGUUGUGCCGCUUCGAAGGUCCUGAUGGCGGGAUGGGCGUGCCUCUGGGUAGGAAGUUGAAUGCAGGGAGCCGUUCAAUCUUGAAAGAGAGAUGGCCGUUGUAGGCUUGGAAUGGCAGCAGUGGGAUUCUGUGCAUGGAGCCAUGGCAGGAGAAGGGGAGAGUGGCAAGGAAAAUGAGGAAGACGAGAGGGAGGACUUUGGGAGCCAUUGGGGAGUGAGAAGAGGACUCUUAUUUCUCUCUCAGCACCGAGUUUCUCCUUUGGAGUGAGAGGUGGAUGGCUGUGCAUGCACUCUGCAGUCCAGUCCCUUGUUUCUCCUUUAUAAAUCCUCAGUAGUUAGUUCUAACUUCUAUGCCUUUGUCUAUCUUUCUUCCAGGUCAAAGAGGAAGUUUCAUUUCAUUUGAGACAGGAAGAGUCGAUCAAGGGAUAUUUUUCUCGACACGCAAAUGGUUUGCAGAAUUUGUCAAAAGGGGAAGCAUCAAGGAAGGUAGGGCGGCAG